This is a long non-coding RNA of Ictalurus punctatus (channel catfish), 2555 nucleotides long. RefSeq lists it as uncharacterized. The transcript has 12 exons. The record is from RefSeq and is a predicted model, not a curated record. Lineage: Eukaryota; Metazoa; Chordata; Actinopteri; Siluriformes; Ictaluridae.
GCCGUUACGUUGGUGACGUCACCACGAGCGCGAGAAGUCGAAGGUAGGAGCAGAAAGCGGUGUUAGUGUUAGUUCUGGCCCGUUUGGACCCAAACUAAAGUGUAUCAGUAUGAAGCAGGCGGUGACGGCGCACUGAUUGACCGGUUCACUAAUGACCGAAUCACCGAGGAACCGACCAAAGAUAACUCACACCCGCACGAAGAAGAACAAGAGGAGGAGAAGAUGAGCUGGAGUGGGGCAAAGAGAACUGCAUUCAGAUCAAACGGAUACAAGAGAGGUGGCCGAGUUGUUUGAGGAUCUAAAGAAUUGAGUGUCACAAUUCAACAUGCACAUCAGCGAAACUUUUCCCUCUGACUACACCAGCACGCACGCACAGAAAUUCAUAGUGCAGGUGGUGAUUGCAGGCGCAUUUUAUCCGAACUGCUUCCUCCAGGGAGCUGUGGACGAGGAGCUCGCCUCCAAGGAACUCUAUGGAAACGACCCCAGGACCACCAUAGUGGUGUGUAAUCUCCCUCCAUUUGCAUUCCUCUACUAUAAACAGCUCCAGUCUCUCUUCAGACACUGUGAUUAAAUCAAAUCCAUCUCCUUUGACAGCUCCAGGGCCUAUGUAGAGUUCUACCGCUCGUCAAUGAGAGGUUCUGGCGUUCUCCCAGAGGUCUCUCUGUCUCUCCUCCUCACGCAGCAGAGACUUCCUCUCCAUGUCAACGUUUAACCUGCUGGAGAGGUGGAGACUUGGGCAGGGGGGUAGUGUAUCUCACACCUCAGAUAUACACGGGUGAAUGUGGAUUUUCAGAAUCAGUCAGUGAGCCCUGUCGGGGUUCUGAGCAGCUCCAUUGAGUUGGAGAAUCUUCCGUCUAACCCUGUCUUUAUCGAGGUCCAGGUGCAGCCUUUGGAUAUUGAUGAAGAUUUACUGCCCCUGCAAGACCUUCCUCAACUGCGUAGUCUGGAGCAAAGGAUGCAACAGAGCCCAGAUUACAAGCAAAAUCUGGUAAACUGGUUGGCGCUUAUUGACGGGGUGUAUGUGCGUGACUGCACCUGGCGCAUAUUGAAGAGGGUGAUUGCUAACUCCCUGGAAAAGAAUGUCAAUUGGAGGGGAGUCAAUGGAAAGACUUCACUGUCCGCUCUCCAACUCGGAGAGGUCGUGAUUGGUUGUUUCGUCCUGAUGGCCUGCACCCCAGCAGCCUCGGAGCGGAACUGCUGUCUGACAACAUCUCCAAGACGCUACACUCCAAGUGACUGUCUACCUUGUUGGCAGCUCAGCGGGCGAGACGUGUGGCUCUGAUCGCUCGGAUCAAUAGUCUAAGGCUGGAAGUUCAGUGCAUAGGGUAAGUCAACACCUGUUUCAGUGUUUAUUUACAGUCACAGUGUUUAACUCACACUUCACGUGCAGAAGAAGGAGGACAGGGUAAAGGAAAUGCGCCAUACCGUGGCGUAGGGCACGGCCAACAGGCUGCAGCUCCAGACCCGGCGGUAGGGAUGCACAAUUCAGCUAAUUAAAACUUGUCUAUUUUUUUUUUUUAACUACGUUCAACCACUCUGCUAACGAUUCAUCGGUGACUCGAUCACUUGAGUUUUAUUUUACUGUGUUUUAUAUUGUUUGGGGAGAGUGUGUGUUCUGUCCAUGGAUAACGGUUUAGAUGUACAACGAAGUGCGUGAGUUUAAAAGACCUGUGCUCCUGUAGGUGUUGAGAGCUCAGUGAAAAAAAAGCAUGAUGUUUGAAUGUGUACAUAUGAGUAGAAUAUUUGUUUUGUGAAAUAAAUGAAAACAAAUGUUGAUUACGGUUUUAGGGAGGCUGGUUUGCCUUUGAAUAAAAAGUUUAGGAGGUAAAGCGUUUUUCUAAAAAAAGAAUUGCAUGUAUUUCCUUCUAAACAUAAGCCUUUAGGAUGUAAAAAUGGUUAAAAGAGCUGUUUAAAAAGGAUAACCCAUAUUACAUGACUUCUAAGCAAAGAUCCUUUAUGAGGUAAAAAUGUUAGUGUUGGCUAAAAGAAUCGCCGUAUUGUUUAAACUAGAAGAUAGGUUUUCGCAAGAUGUCUUCCAUUCGCUUGUUUCACAUCAUAUGAAAAAACUAAACUUAACUCCAUGUAUUUUUUGUAUUAUCAUUUUGGUGGAAAAAUUUUUUAGACAUCAUGGCUGGAAAUGCACAGCAGGGCAACCAACAGGCUGUACCACAAGACAUGGCGGCGAGACGAGCGUCCCUGCAGACUUUAAUUGAUGAUGCAUUGCAGGAGCUUCAGAACGUUGUGUAAGUGCACAAUUUGUAGUCAACACCUGUUUAUCAGUGUUUAUUUACAGUCACCGUGUUUAACCUCACGCUUCCUACCUCGUUAGGCAGAUCAUGUCUGAGGUCAAGGCACUCAUCACUCAGAUAACAGAUAUGUUAAAGUAACGUCUGAACUUAUUCACUCUUAUUCUCUGUCUCUCUCUCUCUCUACAUUCAUUAUGAACCGGUUUCACUGACUGUGUUUAACGUGCAGGCUGUGUCCUUGGAGCAUGUGACUUCUAUUUCGUCUGUGUUUUCAGAAGGAGGUGGAAGAGAGGUGUUGUUUUUUUGUUG